This 389-nucleotide ribosomal RNA is filed under the name uncultured bacterium. RNAcentral describes it as "partial 16S ribosomal RNA". It matches the Rfam family "Bacterial small subunit ribosomal RNA", at positions 355 to 758 of the family's 1533-position model. The record is from RNAcentral.
UGGGGAAUAUUGCACAAUGGGCGAAAGCCUGAUGCAGCAACGCCGCGUGAGGGACGACGGCCUUCGGGUUGUAAACCUCUUUUAGCAAGGAAGAAGCGAAAGUGACGGUACUUGCAGAAAAAGCGCCGGCUAACUACGUGCCAGCAGCCGCGGUAAUACGUAGGGCGCAAGCGUUAUCCGGAAUAUUGGGCGUAAGAGCUCGUAGGCGGUUUGUCGCGUCUGCUGUGAAAACCCGAGGCUCAACCUCGGGCCUGCAGUGGGUACGGGCAGACUAGAGUGCGGUAGGGGAGAUUGGAACUCCUGGUGUAGCGGUGGAAUGCGCAGAUAUCAGGAAGAACACCGAUGGCGAAGGCAGAUCUCUGGGCCGUAACUGACGCUGAGGAGCGAAA